CAUAUUGUCAGCUGGACUCCCUCUGGCGCGAACCCAAGGGCACAAUGCCCAGGUAAGGCACUCCAACUGCGUUUGGAGGAGGGGAAAAUUAUCAUGCAGAAAAUUACGUUUGCAGAUUGCAUUACAAUUAAAACCAACCGCAGACAGCGAAGCGAUUAAAAUCCUGAACCCCGUCCAAGGGCGUGGAACCUCAGAUGUGAGACAGCUCGCAACAGCGCCCAAACAAAGGUGUUUGAACUUGGAACGUGGAUGUUCGUUUGGCAGGUUUUAAUGCCCAGUCCUGUUUAGGGUACCCCGCCCCUGCAGAGGCUUCUGUCGGUUUGGGACAGUACCCCAUCCAUGAAAAAGGUUCUGCCGGUUUGGGAGAGUACACACUGGCACCUCUGGCUCCCUCAGAGUGGCUAGAAAUGAUCUGAAAUGGUGAAUGUUGAGAGAGCUUCCAAUAGGGGCCGUGACAGCUUCAGAUCCAACAGGCUGACUACUUCAGCAGAGAAGGCCGCUGUCCUGAGGAUGAGAGGCUGGGCCAGGCAGCAGCCGGCUAGCUGAUCUGUAUUCAUUCGGCCGGGGCUUGGAGCCGAUUAGCGCCGCGCUUCGCUCGGGCUGGAGCGGAAUACGGCCUCCCAGCAGCGACGUUCUUAAACAAAGAGUGAGGAGAAAGCGCCUGAAGGUUGGCAGUUGGCGGGAUUACGAGAGGCUGAAUGGAUUUUUUAAAUCCCGCUUGACGUUAGCCGCGCUGGCCGCCGUGUCUACCUUGUCGCAGGACUCUCGCUCAUAGCCGAACGGUGGACUUUUUGUCUGUUGUAGAGAAAUCUACAGACAAAUACAGGUGCAGACAUGAAGAGGAUCAGAUUGAUUUGAGGGUGUAUUUUAGCAUCAACCUCCCGCCCCCCACCACAGCAGCA
This is a long non-coding RNA of Anguilla anguilla (European eel), 902 nucleotides long. RefSeq lists it as uncharacterized. The record is from RefSeq and is a predicted model, not a curated record. Lineage: Eukaryota; Metazoa; Chordata; Actinopteri; Anguilliformes; Anguillidae. The transcript is spliced from 4 exons.